UACGGGGGGGGCAAGCGUUGUUCGGAAUUACUGGGCGUAAAGGGCUUGUAGGCGGCCAACUAAGUCAGACGUGAAAUCCCUCGGCUUAACCGGGGAACUGCGUCUGAUACUGGAUGGCUUGAGUUCGGGAGAGGGAUGCGGAAUUCCAGGUGUAGCGGUGAAAUGCGUAGAUAUCUGGAGGAACACCGGUGGCGAAGGCGGCAUCCUGGACCGACACUGACGCUGAUGAGCGAAAGCCAGGGGAGCAAACGGG
Molecule: ribosomal RNA, 253 nt
Filed under: uncultured bacterium
Lineage: Bacteria
Description: partial 16S ribosomal RNA
Rfam family: Bacterial small subunit ribosomal RNA
Source: RNAcentral